GCUGGUCUUGCUCCAGAGCACUGGUUGGCUGUAAGGAUUGAGUGCAACUACUAUUUUCAUCAUGGUUUCUCAGAAACGGCACAAUUUUCACCUGACAGAGCAGGGAAAGAUUUGAUGCUCCCGCAUGACUUCAUUAAGAUUGUUAUUUUGAUGCUUAGACUAUGACUUUAAGGGCAAGAGAUCUCACUGAUGUUUUAACAAACUUUGAUGUUAGGGGGAAAUAUUAGCAUUGCUUAGUGAUAAUACAA
This is a non-coding RNA of Pelobates cultripes (western spadefoot toad), 248 nucleotides long. Lineage: Eukaryota; Metazoa; Chordata; Amphibia; Anura; Pelobatidae. The record is from the annotation of a GenBank genome assembly.